UUAAAUUGAAGAGUUUGAUCAUGGCUCAGAUUGAACGCUGGCGGCAGGCCUAACACAUGCAAGUCGAGCGGAAACGAGUUAAC
This 83-nucleotide ribosomal RNA is filed under the name Vibrio parahaemolyticus. RNAcentral's name for it is "partial 16S ribosomal RNA". It matches the Rfam family "Bacterial small subunit ribosomal RNA", at positions 1 to 81 of the family's 1533-position model. RNAcentral also lists the same sequence under 1 other name. The record is from RNAcentral. Lineage: Bacteria; Pseudomonadati; Pseudomonadota; Gammaproteobacteria; Vibrionales; Vibrionaceae.